This 1208-nucleotide ribosomal RNA is filed under the name Opisthopsis haddoni (sananna strobe ant). RNAcentral's name for it is "eukaryotic LSU rRNA". It matches the Rfam family "Eukaryotic large subunit ribosomal RNA", at positions 389 to 1271 of the family's 3401-position model. The record is from RNAcentral. Lineage: Eukaryota; Metazoa; Arthropoda; Insecta; Hymenoptera; Formicidae.
UCAAGAGUACGUGAAACCGUUCAGGGGUAAACCUAAGAAACCCAAAAGAUCGAAAGGGGAGAUUCAUCGUCAGCGACGCUGGCUUCGCGUCGGUGGGCGAUGUCCCGCGGAGUCCUCGCGGCUCGCGCGCGGGCACGCUACCGUGCGUCGAUGUCCGGCUGUCGUCGUCGUGCACUUCUCCCCAAGUAGAACGUCGCGACCCGCUGGGUGUCGGUCUACGGCCCGGGUGCGGUGACUGCCGCGUCGCCGGUAAAACGGCACGCGACAAACCCUCGGACGCCCGGCCGGCUGCUCGGCGGUACGCGCAUGGUAUCAGGCCGCACUCUUUAACGAGAUGCGUCGAGGCCGUCGCAAGCGCGCGCCACGGUACUCGGAGGUUACGGACUCAGCGCCGUCCCCGGUCCUGGCCCGCUGUUGGUUAACGCAAAAGUACGGAUAACCUUCGACAGGCCUGCGAACGUCUCCCUCUUCGGGGGGUGACGGAUACCGGUCGGCGACGCUACUGCUUUGGGUACUCUUAGGACCCGUCUUGAAACACGGACCAAGGAGUCUAACAUGUACGCGAGUCAUUGGGACUCCUCGCGAGACCUAAAGGCGUAAUGAAAGUGAAGGUCGGCCCUGGCCGUCGACCGAGGGAGGAUGGGCCGCGUCGCGAUGCGGCCUCGCACUCCCGGGGCGUCUCGUUCUCAUAGCGAGAAGAGGCGCACCCAGAGCGUACACGUUGGGACCCGAAAGAUGGUGAACUAUGCCUGGUCAGGACGAAGUCAGGGGAAACCCUGAUGAAGGUCCGUAGCGAUUCUGACGUGCAAAUCGAUCGUCGGAACUGGGUAUAGGGGCGAAAGACUAAUCGAACCAUCUAGUAGCUGGUUCCCUCCGAAGUUUCCCUCAGGAUAGCUGGCACUCGGCCGUUCCGCACGGAACGCGCGCGAGUCUCAUCUGGUAAAGCGAAUGAUUAGAGGCCUUGGGGCCGAAACGACCUCAACCUAUUCUCAAACUUUAAAUGGGUGAGAUCUCUGGCUUUCUUGAAUUAUGAAGCCACGAGCAUCUCGGAUCAGAGUGCCAAGUGGGCCAUUUUUGGUAAGCAGAACUGGCGCUGUGGGAUGAACCAAACGCAGAGUUAAGGCGCCCAACUCGACGCUCAUGGGACACCAUGAAAGGCGUUGGUUGCUUAAGACAGCAGGACGGUGGCCAUGGAAGUCGGAAUCCGC